UACGUAGGGGGCUAGCGUUGUCCGGAAUCAUUGGGCGUAAAGCGCGCGUAGGCGGCCCGGUAAGUCCGCUGUAAAAGUCAAAGGCUCAACCUUUGAAUGUCAGUGGAUACUGCCGGGCUAGAGUCCGGAAGAGGCGAGUGGAACUCCUGGUGUAGCGGUGAAAUGCGCAGAUAUCGGGAGGAACACCAAUGGCGAAGGCAGCUCGCUGGGACGUUACUGACGCUGAGACGCGAAAGCGUGGGGAGCAAACAGG
Molecule: ribosomal RNA, 253 nt
Filed under: uncultured bacterium
Lineage: Bacteria
Description: partial 16S ribosomal RNA
Rfam family: Bacterial small subunit ribosomal RNA
Source: RNAcentral